UGGGGAAUAUUGCACAAUGGGCGCAAGCCUGAUGCAGCCAUGCCGCGUGAAUGAAGAAGGCCUUCGGGUUGUAAAGUACUUUCAGUCGGGAGGAAGGUGGUAAGGUUAAUAACCUUAUCAAUUGACGUUACCGACAGAAGAAGCACCGGCUAACUCCGUGCCAGCAGCCGCGGUAAUACGGAGGGUGCAAGCGUUAAUCGGAAUUACUGGGCGUAAAGCGCACGCAGGCGGCUGAUUGAGUCAGAUGUGAAAUCCCCGGGCUUAACCCGGGAAUUGCAUCUGAUACUGGUCAGCUAGAGUCUUGUAGAGGGGGGUAGAAUUCCAUGUGUAGCUGUGAAAUGCGUAGAGAGGUGGAGGAAUACCGGUGGCGAAGGCGGCCCCCUGGAAAAAGACUGACGCUCAGGUGCGAAAGCGGGGGGAGCAAACAGG
Molecule: ribosomal RNA, 429 nt
Filed under: Chloroflexota bacterium
Lineage: Bacteria; Bacillati; Chloroflexota
Description: Chloroflexi bacterium partial 16S ribosomal RNA
Rfam family: Bacterial small subunit ribosomal RNA
Source: RNAcentral